RNAcentral lists this transfer RNA (103 nucleotides) under Chlamydomonas reinhardtii. It matches the Rfam family "tRNA". Rfam says of the family: Transfer RNA (tRNA) molecules are approximately 80 nucleotides in length. Their secondary structure includes four short double-helical elements and three loops (D, anti-codon, and T loops). The record is from Rfam by way of RNAcentral. Lineage: Eukaryota; Viridiplantae; Chlorophyta; Chlorophyceae; Chlamydomonadales; Chlamydomonadaceae.
GCUUCUAUAGCUCAGUAGGUAGAGCGUGCGGCUGUUAAAUCUUCCCGGGCUCCGUCCCGGGUAUGCCACCGCAAGGUCGACGGUUCGAUCCCGUCUGGAAGCG